UACGUAAGGGGCAAGCGUUGUCCGGAAUCACUGGGCGUAAAGCGCGCGUAGGUGGUUUGGUAAGUCGGGUGUGAAAUCCCCGGGCUCAACCCGGGAACUGCGCCCGAAACUGCCUCACUGGAGGGACGGAGAGGUGCACGGAAUUCCCGGUGUAGGGGUGAAAUCCAUGGAGAUCGGGAGGAACACCAAUGGCGAAGGCAGUGCACUGGACGUUUCCUGACACUGAGGUGCGAAAGCGUGGGGAGCGAACGGG
This 253-nucleotide ribosomal RNA is filed under the name uncultured bacterium. Its description in RNAcentral is "partial 16S ribosomal RNA". It matches the Rfam family "Bacterial small subunit ribosomal RNA", at positions 524 to 776 of the family's 1533-position model. The record is from RNAcentral.